GACGAACGCUGGCGGCGUGCCUAACACAUGCAAGUCGAACGGGACUGAUUGGAAAGCGGCUUCGGCCAAUGGAAGAUCGGUUUAGUGGCGAACGGGUGAGUAACACGUGAGGAACCUGCCUUUCAGUGGGGGACAACAGUUGGAAACGACUGCUAAUACCGCAUAAUGUCAUCGAGCGGCAUCGCUUGAUGACCAAAGAUUUAUUGCUGAAAGAUGGCCUCGCGUCUGAUUAGCUAGUUGGUGGGGUAACGGCCCACCAAGGCGACGAUCAGUAGCCGGUCUGAGAGGAUGAACGGCCACAUUGGGACUGAGAUACGGCCCAGACUCCUACGGGAGGCAGCAGUGGGGAAUAUUGGGCAAUGGGGGAAACCCUGACCCAGCAACGCCGCGUGAAGGAAGAAAGGGCCCUCGGUUGGUU
Molecule: ribosomal RNA, 418 nt
Filed under: uncultured bacterium
Lineage: Bacteria
Description: bacterial SSU rRNA
Rfam family: Bacterial small subunit ribosomal RNA
Source: RNAcentral